Molecule: ribosomal RNA, 494 nt
Filed under: uncultured bacterium
Lineage: Bacteria
Description: bacterial SSU rRNA
Rfam family: Bacterial small subunit ribosomal RNA
Source: RNAcentral
CAGGUGGUGCAUGGUUGUCGUCAGCUCGUGUCGUGAGAUGUUGGGUUAAGUCCCGCAACGAGCGCAACCCCUAUCUUCAGUAGCCAGCAUUACGGAUGGGCACUCUGGAGAGACUGCCAGGGACAACCUGGAGGAAGGUGGGGAUGACGUCAAAUCAUCAUGCCCCUUAUGGCCAGGGCUACACACGUGCUACAAUGGCGUGAACAAAGGGAAGCAGCCAUGUGAAUGUGAGCAAAUCCCAAAAAUAACGUCUCAGUUCGGAUUGUAGUCUGCAACUCGACUACAUGAAGCUGGAAUCGCUAGUAAUCGCGAAUCAGAAUGUCGCGGUGAAUACGUUCCCGGGUCUUGUACACACCGCCCGUCACACCAUGGGAGUCAGUAACGCCCGAAGCCGGUGACCUAACCGAAAGGGAGGAGCCGUCGAAGGUGGGACCGAUAACUGGGGUGAAGUCGUAACAAGGUAGCCGUAUCGGAAGGUGCGGCUGGAUCACCUC